Molecule: ribosomal RNA, 119 nt
Filed under: Pteropus alecto (black flying fox)
Lineage: Eukaryota; Metazoa; Chordata; Mammalia; Chiroptera; Pteropodidae
Source: RNAcentral
GUUAAAAAAUUUGCCCCACUGAACAAGCCCGAUCCCGUCUGAUCUCGGAAGCUAAGCAGGGUGGGGCCUGGUUAGUACUUGGAUGGGAGACCACCUAGGAAGACCAGAUGCUGUAGGCG